RNAcentral lists this ribosomal RNA (468 nucleotides) under uncultured bacterium. RNAcentral describes it as "partial 16S ribosomal RNA". It matches the Rfam family "Bacterial small subunit ribosomal RNA", at positions 28 to 523 of the family's 1533-position model. The record is from RNAcentral.
GAUGAACGCUGGCGGCGUGCCUAACACAUGCAAGUCGAGCGAUUCUCUUCGGAGAAGAGCGGCGGACGGGUGAGUAACGCGUGGGUAACCUGCCCUGUACACACGGAUAACAUACCGAAAGGUAUGCUAAUACGAGAUAACAUAAGAAAUUCGCAUGUUUUUCUUAUCAAAGCUCCGGCGGUACAGGAUGGACCCGCGUCUGAUUAGCUAGUUGGUGAGGUAAGGGCUCACCAAGGCGACGAUCAGUAGCCGACCUGAGAGGGUGAUCGGCGACAUUGGAACUGGGACACGGUCCAAACUCCUACGGGAGGCAGCAGUGGGGAAUAUUGCACAAUGGGCGAAAGCCUGAUGCAGCAACGCCGCGUGAGCGAUGAAGGCCUUCGGGUCGUAAAGCUCUGUCCUCAAGGAAGAUAAUGACGGUACUUGAGGAGGAAGCCCCGGCUAACUACGUGCCAGCCGCCGCGGUAA